AACCCACCACCAAAAGUGGGGUUUGGAGGAAAGUUUCACAUGUGGUACUGCUCCUUGCCAUCCAUAGACCUCCGGCGAUUAUUGGUAUUGAUGCUAAGAGACUGAAGAGGUUCAAGAACCCUAUCACUGUGUUGCUGAACCUGAAAAGCUUCAACAAUUCAAAUGCUUAUCCCAAUUGCACUAUUUGCUUUCCAUAUAUAUAUAUAUAUAUAUGUAUUCAUAAACUUUAAUUAGUCAGUGACUACAGUGUCCUUCUAGUGUUUGAUUUGGCGUGAGUACAAGCCUACGAUAUUGUGUUAAGAAAAUUUAUUCUUGUAUCAUUGACGCUAAACACUACAAGCCUACGAUAACGCUAUACCGGUGUCAUUGAAGUUGCUCUCCAAUCUUCUAAGCAACACAUAGCUGAUGAGUUGAAGAGGAAUCAGUUCCUUAUACAUUGUCCAACGGCAAGCAAGGAAUAUAUCUAAUUGGUCGACAUGCAUUGGGGUAUGUUGUGCAUGACGUGAGUGAGGUGCUUUUGCUUUUGUGUGGUGCAUGGGACCCCCUUUUGAGCUUCUUUUUGAAGCAUGAUCACAUUGAUCUGAAGCAGGAUUAGGCAGGCCAUGCCAUGACUUUGGCGCCAAGGAAUAGAAUAUUAGAAUAUUAAUCAGAAUAAUAAUCAGAAUACUAAUCAGAAUAUUAAUCAGAAUAUAAUGGAAGGAAAUUUCCUCUCUUCUUAUCCUCUAGUUAUUCAACAUUUUUGUUUGAUUCUCUUUACGGCUCCAAUUGACACCAGUUUUUUGAAUGGAAAAGUUUCCCAAUUAAUUAACUUUCUAAUAAUAUUUAGUUUGGUACGUCAAUUAUAGGAUAAUGAUGAUCUACUUUUGAAGUUUAUAAUCCUUAAGUACCUCAAUGAUAGAAGCAUAAUGAUACUUCUAAAAUGAACAUGUAUGGUACAGAUAGACUGUCACAAUGGUGUCCCAAUGAAAUAAAAUACGUAUAAAUUUUUGUUCACUUAUUUUUAUUUUAUUAGCACUAAACGUUAUGUGACAAUAUAACCGUAUCAUGUACAUUAUUCUCCAUUUGAAUCCCUCACAAACGCUUAGCAUAAGCCUUGAUGUAGGCUCCACAAUCCACAUAGAUAUGCCUUAAUAAACAAGUAGAAGUACAGAGCGCAACUAGCCAUAGGUUGGCCAUGGUUAUAUAGCCCGAUUCUGAGAAUGAGGUUUAAGUUUGCUGGUCACUGGUGAUCCGUAGGAGCUAAUAGGUGCUUUCAUAAGAGCAAGUUCAUUUUACUAAGGCAAUUACUGGUCAGACAAUUAAGGUAAUUACUUUCGUAGUGAAUAUUAAUUGUUGAAGUGCAUCUCUAUUCUGUAAAUGAAUUGUCAGACAAAUUGGUAUUAAAAAAAUUAUUUUUCUAAAAGAUAAUUUUAUGUUUAAUUUCAUAUAGAGAUUUUUAACCAAUUUCGUCACGCUAUGUGUCAUCAUUUGAAAUUUCUUUAAAUCUCAUUUAGAUUGUUAACCAAUCUCGUAGCGCUACAUGUUGUUUUAAAAUGAGGUGUAGGAUGGAAGAGAAUAGUUGAGUAUUUAUAUAAAAAAUUAUAAAUCUUUUAAAUAUUUUAUGGUUUUUUUGUAUAAUUCUUAUCUUACAUAAUUAAUAUGGACCGUUGUAUUACAUUUUUUUACAAUCCAACAGCCCAGAUUUUAACACAUGGCCCCAACGGUAAUAAUAGAAUUUUUGCUGAUUUUUUCUUUUUUUUU
Pyrus x bretschneideri (Chinese white pear) is the source of this 1740-nucleotide long non-coding RNA. RefSeq lists it as uncharacterized. The transcript is spliced from 2 exons. Lineage: Eukaryota; Viridiplantae; Streptophyta; Magnoliopsida; Rosales; Rosaceae. The record is from RefSeq and is a predicted model, not a curated record.